RNAcentral lists this ribosomal RNA (486 nucleotides) under Streptococcus intermedius. Its description in RNAcentral is "bacterial SSU rRNA". It matches the Rfam family "Bacterial small subunit ribosomal RNA", at positions 28 to 490 of the family's 1533-position model. Lineage: Bacteria; Bacillati; Bacillota; Bacilli; Lactobacillales; Streptococcaceae. The record is from RNAcentral.
GACGAACGCUGGCGGCGUGCCUAAUACAUGCAAGUAGAACGCACAGGAUGCACCGUAGUUUACUACACCGUAUUCUGUGAGUUGCGAACGGGUGAGUAACGCGUAGGUAACCUGCCUGGUAGCGGGGGAUAACUAUUGGAAACGAUAGCUAAUACCGCAUAAGAACAUUUACUGCAUGGUAGAUGUUUAAAAGGUGCAAAUGCAUCACUACCAGAUGGACCUGCGUUGUAUUAGCUAGUAGGUGAGGUAACGGCUCACCUAGGCGACGAUACAUAGCCGACCUGAGAGGGUGAUCGGCCACACUGGGACUGAGACACGGCCCAGACUCCUACGGGAGGCAGCAGUAGGGAAUCUUCGGCAAUGGGGGGAACCCUGACCGAGCAACGCCGCGUGAGUGAAGAAGGUUUUCGGAUCGUAAAGCUCUGUUGUUAAGGAAGAACGAGUGUGAGAAUGGAAAGUUCAUACUGUGACGGACUAACCAGAAAG